GCAUCGAUGAAGAACGCAGCGAAAUGCGAUACUUGGUGUGAAUUGCAGAAUCCCGUGAACCAUCGAGUCUUUGAACGCAAGUUGCGCCCGAGGCCUCCUGGCCGAGGGCACGCCUGCCUGGGCGUCACGC
Molecule: ribosomal RNA, 130 nt
Filed under: Iris laevigata
Lineage: Eukaryota; Viridiplantae; Streptophyta; Magnoliopsida; Asparagales; Iridaceae
Description: partial 5.8S ribosomal RNA
Rfam family: 5.8S ribosomal RNA
About the family: 5.8S ribosomal RNA (5.8S rRNA) is a component of the large subunit of the eukaryotic ribosome. It is transcribed by RNA polymerase I as part of the 45S precursor that also contains 18S and 28S rRNA.
Source: RNAcentral